This 392-nucleotide ribosomal RNA is filed under the name Nostoc sp. LCRNK43. RNAcentral describes it as "bacterial SSU rRNA". It matches the Rfam family "Bacterial small subunit ribosomal RNA", at positions 166 to 592 of the family's 1533-position model. Lineage: Bacteria; Bacillati; Cyanobacteriota; Cyanophyceae; Nostocales; Nostocaceae. The record is from RNAcentral.
AUACCGGAUGUGCCCUUGGCCAAGGCUAGUUGCUGAAGAUGACUCGCGUCUGAUUAGCUAGUUGGGUGAGUAAGAGCCUACCUAGGCGACGAUCAGUAGCUGGUCUGAGAGGAUGAUCAGCCACACUGGGACUGAGACACGGCCCAGACUCCUACGGGAGGCAGCAGUGGGGAAUUUUCCGCAAUGGGCGAAAGCCUGACGGAGCAAUACCGCGUGAGGGAGGAAGGCUCUUGGGUUGUAAACCUCUUUUCUCAAGGAAUAAAAUCUCGAGGGAACUGGAGGAAUAACAUCCGGUAACUUCCUGCCCACCGCCGGCGGUAUUCCGGAGGAAGUUAGCCCUUUUCCGAAAGAAUUGGGCGUUAAGCCUCCCCCAGGGGGCUUUGUAAGUCUGC